This 496-nucleotide ribosomal RNA is filed under the name uncultured bacterium. Its description in RNAcentral is "partial 16S ribosomal RNA". It matches the Rfam family "Bacterial small subunit ribosomal RNA", at positions 28 to 506 of the family's 1533-position model. The record is from RNAcentral.
GAUGAACGCUGGCGGCGUGCCUAAUACAUGCAAGUCGAGCGAACAGACGAGGAGCUUGCUCCUCUGACGUUAGCGGCGGACGGGUGAGUAACACGUGGAUAACCUACCUAUAAGACUGGGAUAACUUCGGGAAACCGGAGCUAAUACCGGAUAAUAUAUUGAACCGCAUGGUUCAAUAGUGAAAGACGGUUUUGCUGUCACUUAUAGAUGGAUCCGCGCCGCAUUAGCUAGUUGGUAAGGUAACGGCUUACCAAGGCGACGAUGCGUAGCCGACCUGAGAGGGUGAUCGGCCACACAGGAACUGAGACACGGUCCAGACUCCUACGGGAGGCAGCAGUAGGGAAUCUUCCGCAAUGGGCGAAAGCCUGACGGAGCAACGCCGCGUGAGUGAUGAAGGUCUUCGGAUCGUAAAACUCUGUUAGGAGGGAAGAACAAAUGUGUAAGUAACUAUGCACGUCUGGACGGUACCUAAUCAGAAAGCCACGGCUAACUACGU